RNAcentral lists this long non-coding RNA (901 nucleotides) under Olea europaea (common olive). RNAcentral's name for it is "long non-coding RNA (OEUR_LNC000443)". The record is from RNAcentral. Lineage: Eukaryota; Viridiplantae; Streptophyta; Magnoliopsida; Lamiales; Oleaceae.
UUUCAUAUUGAUCAGUUGAUAGAAAGAUGAAGAAUUGUUUCAGCAAACUAGCUAAUGGAAGGUAUAGCUUGGACUUACAUAUCUGUCAAACUCUACAGAGAAAAUUAUGUUAAAAUAAAAAAUGAUAUAAAUAAAAUUCCAAUAGGAGUAUAUAAAUGUCUAGGUGAAAUGGGUAGCUACAGUUGAUGCAGUUUGCCAAUGACAUUAUUAAAUUCAGUAAACAAAAAUGGAUAGCUAUAGUUAAUAAAAAUUAAAGGGUCUUCAUCCUUAUAAAGAUUGUCUCCCAAUGGUUCUUAAAAAUUAAAAUUGUAUCUCUUGUUAACUUAAACAUCAUAUAUAUAAAGGUUCUAAGAAGGACAUCCUCUAUAAUGACUUAUUACACAAGAUUAUAGGAAAAUUAACUAAUUGGGUAAAUAAAUUCUAUCCUCAGGAGCAAAACUUGUUUUCGACAUGCCAAUAUACAUACUCAAGCCUCUUAAGAUUGUAAUUGAAAAUUUGAGAUCAUAUCUACAGACUGCAAAGUACUCAUGAGUGAUGCUGACGGGGUUACACACAUAUAUUGGAUGUGUAAUUUCCAUUAGCAGAAUUCACAAUAGUUGCAGAAGUUGGCGGAUUUUAAUAUCACAAAUUGUGAGAUACAUUGAAAGAAAAAUUUAAUAAACUUGUCAUGUAAAUUUCAUAUUCAUUCCUUACAUAAAAUCUACUACAUAUACACAUAACAAGAAGGCAAAUAUAUCAUAAAUGUCAAAGUUAUUGCUUAAUUAAUUCUACUGCAUAAACUGAUAAACAUAACAAGAAGGCAAAUUAAUGGAGAGGGAUAUACGAAAUAAAUCCAAGAAGAAGUAACCUUAUUUUGAGAAGAACAAGAAGAGGGCCAGGAGGGCUUGCUGCGUAGAGAUGG